Molecule: long non-coding RNA, 534 nt
Organism: Capsicum annuum
Lineage: Eukaryota; Viridiplantae; Streptophyta; Magnoliopsida; Solanales; Solanaceae
Exons: 4
Source: RefSeq, a predicted model, not a curated record
GUUAAAGGACUUCUUUCUCAGCCACAUAAAUCAAUAUCUAUUCAUGUGUCCAUUCAUCACAAGAACAUUUAAAAGACAAUUCUAGAAAUGAUCUUUUCAGAAUUAACAUUUCUAGAAGUGAUCCAAAUAAAUAGGAAUCAAAUAGGAGUUCAAUCUCAGGAAUACCACCAUAAGUGCAACUAAUUUGUCGAUAGGUAUGUCAAUGUUUAUCUAGGUGCUUUUUAGGAGCUUGAGUUAACUUCAAAGGUGAAAAGAUGAAUGAGUGUCAUUGGUAUCAGUAUUUCACAAUAAUUCAGCUACUUUGCCAAUAGGUGUUUUGAUUGUGAAUGCUCAAGAGAUUGAUCACAACGACAAAAAUGCAUCUCCUAUUAUAGAAUUUAUAAACAUUAGCAGUAUCAAUGUAAAUAGGCAACAACGACUAUGAUAUGUGAAUGUGCGCAUCCAAAAGUAUGUUAUUUCCAUAAUUGUAUAAAACAUACAUUUGGGAUCAUUUUCAUCAACUGAUCCAAUCAAACGAGAUAACCCUUACUGUUA